AACGAACGCUGGCGGCAUGCCUAACACAUGCAAGUCGAACGAGACCUUCGGGUCUGGUGCCGCACGGAUCCGUAACGCGUGGGAACCUGCCCUUAGGUUUGGAAUAAAUUGCCGAAAGGGGUGCUAAUACCGGAUCAUGUCCUCGGUCCAAAGAUUUAUCGCCAUUGGAUGGGCCGGCGUUGGAUUAGAUAGUUGCGAGGCUAAAAGCCUAUCAAGGCUACGAUCGAUAGAUGGUCUGAGAGGAUGCGCAGCCACACUGGGACUGAGACACGGCCCAGACUACUACGGGAAGCAGCAGUGGGUAAUAUUGGACAGUGGGCGAAAGCCUGAUCCAGCAAUGCCGCGUGAGUGAUGAAGGCCUUAGGGUUGUAAAGCUCUUUUACCCGGGAUGAUAAUGACAUUACCGGGAGAAUAAGCUCCGGCUAACUCCGUG
Molecule: ribosomal RNA, 433 nt
Filed under: uncultured bacterium
Lineage: Bacteria
Description: partial 16S ribosomal RNA
Rfam family: Bacterial small subunit ribosomal RNA
Source: RNAcentral